CCGUAGGCUUGAUGGGAGGCACAACAACCCAAGUCACCAUGUGGAGGAUUAUGAGUUUGCUCCUCACAAAUGACAUGGUCCGUCAGAUAAAUUGGAAGGGAAUGAAUAGAAAGGCUGCGUUCAAGGACACUGCUUUAAAAGCUGUGAUCAGUGCUGAGUCUCAAUUCAUCGAAGGCUGCAUUUAAAGACCAACUACAUCACAGCAGCGCGACAAGGCCGUCCUAUUUCAAAGGAUCCUUUAGACGCGGCCCAGAAAUGCGUCCUUUGUUUUCUGGACAACCGAGGAUCCAGCACAACCGAUUCCAAGAUUCAUUGUGUGCCAGUGAUGAAUCAUCAUUCAAAGAGAGCAUGGCAGACUCCACAAAUAAAAGGUCUAGGAGCCCUGCAUGUCCCUGCACUUGUUUCCAGAUUGUUCCAGCAGAUUCACUGGAUCCCCAAGUGUCAAGUCUCAUCAUCUGCUCACGCCACCUCAGUGACUAGCCACUCCUUCCACCUGCCAUCUGCCUCAGCCGCUCUCAGCCACUCACCGCCCUCAGCCUGUCAGCCUAUCCCCUGCCUACGCCUGCCUCCAUCUCCCCAACCUUAACCAUUCUUCCAAAUAAACCCACCA
Molecule: long non-coding RNA, 610 nt
Organism: Seriola aureovittata
Lineage: Eukaryota; Metazoa; Chordata; Actinopteri; Carangiformes; Carangidae
Exons: 4
Source: RefSeq, a predicted model, not a curated record